GAGGCGCCAGCGGUUAAUCUUGAAUUACUGGGCUCAAAGGGUGCUAGGCGGCUUUGUUAAGUCGUGCUUGUGAGCCCCCGGCGUCAACCUGGCAAUGGCAAGUGAUACUGGCAAGGCUAGAGUGGGUAGAGGAAGGUGGAAUUCCCGGUGUAUCCGGUGAAAUGCUUAGAGAUCGGAGGAACAUCAGAUGGCGAAGGCGGCCUUCUGGACCAACACUGACGUCUCAGGCACGAAAGCGUGGGGAGCAAACAAGGAUUAGAUACCCUGGUAGUCCACGCCCUAAACGAUGCGAACUGGACGUUGGCCACACUUCGGUGGUCAGUGUCGAAGCUAACGCGUUAAUUCCCGCCUGGGGAGUACGGUCGCAAGACUGAAACUCAAAGGAAUUGACGGGGGCCCGCACAAGCGGUGGAGUAUGUGGUUUAAUUCGAUGCAACGCGAAGAACCUUACCUGGUCUUGACAUGUCGCAAACUUGGCAGAAAUGCCUGUGGUGCCUUCGGGAAUGCGAACACAGGUGCUGCAUGGCUGUCGUCAGCUCGUGUCGUGAGAUGUUGGGUUAAGUCCCGCAACGAGCGCAACCCUUGUCCUUAGUUGCCACCACGUCAAGGUGGGAACUCUAGGGAGACUGCCGGCGACAAACCUGGAGGAAGGUGGGGAUGACGCUCAAGUCAUCAUGGCCCUUACGACCAGGGCUACACACGUACUACAAUGGUCGGUACAAAGGGUUGUCAAACCGGGAGUCGAAGCCAAUCCCACAAAGCCGAUCCCAGUCCGGAUCGCAGUCUGCAACUCGACUGCGGGAAGUCGGAAUCGCUAGUAAUCGCGGAUCAGCUAUGCCUCGGUGAAUACGUUCCCGGGCCUUGUACACACCGCCCGUCAGCACCAUGGAAGUGGGCUGCUCCAGAAGCCGUUAGUCCUAAGCCUUCGCAAGGACGAAGAGCCAGCGGAUAUGGUUCAUGACUGGGGUG
This 969-nucleotide ribosomal RNA is filed under the name uncultured bacterium. RNAcentral describes it as "bacterial SSU rRNA". It matches the Rfam family "Bacterial small subunit ribosomal RNA", at positions 529 to 1482 of the family's 1533-position model. The record is from RNAcentral.